AAUAGAACCCCGGUAGUCCACGCCGUAAACGUUGGGCGCUAGAUGUGGGGACCUUUCCACGGUUUCCGUGUCGUAGCUAACGCAUUAAGCGCCCCGCCUGGGGAGUACGGCCGCAAGGCUAAAACUCAAAGGAAUUGACGGGGGGCCCGCACAAGCGGCGGAGCAUGCGGAUUAAUUCGAUGCAACGCGAAGAACCUUACCAAGGCUUGACAUACACAAGAACGGGCCAGAAAUGGUCAACUCUUUGGACACUCGUGAACAGGUGGUGCAUGGUUGUCGUCAGCUCGUGUCGUGAGAUGUUGGGUUAAGUCCCGCAACGAGCGCAACCCUCGUCGCAUGUUGCCAGCACGUUAUGGUGGGGACUCAUGCGAGACUGCCGGGGUCAACUCGGAGGAAGGUGGGGAUGACGUCAAAUCAUCAUGCCCCUUAUGUCUUGGGCUUCACGCAUGCUACAAUGGCCGGUACAAAGGGCUGCGAUGUCGUAAGGCGGAGCGAAUCCCAAAAAGCCGGUCUCAGUUCGGAUUGAGGUCUGCAACUCG
This 539-nucleotide ribosomal RNA is filed under the name uncultured bacterium. RNAcentral's name for it is "bacterial SSU rRNA". It matches the Rfam family "Bacterial small subunit ribosomal RNA", at positions 777 to 1314 of the family's 1533-position model. The record is from RNAcentral.